GCCCUUAGAGUUUGAUCCUGGCUCAGGAUGAACGCUAGCGGCAGGCCUAACACAUGCAAGUCGAGGGGUAACAUAGAGUGCUUGCACUCUGAUGACGACCGGCGCACGGGUGCGCAACGCGUAUAGAAUCUGCCCUUUACUGGGGGAUAGCCCAGAGAAAUUUGGAUUAAUACCCCAUAGUAUACUAUUAUGGCAUCAUAAAAGUAUUAAAGGUUACGGUAAAGGAUGACUAUGCGUCCCAUUAGCUAGAUGGUAAGGUAACGGCUUACCAUGGCAACGAUGGGUAGGGGCCCUGAGAGGGGGAUCCCCCACACUGGUACUGAGACACGGACCUGACUCCUACGGGAGGCAGCAGUGAGGAAUAUUGGACAAUGGGCGAGAGCCUGAUCCAGCCAUGCCGCGUGCGGGAAGAAGGCCCUACGGGUCGUAAACCGCUUUUAUACGGGAAGAAACCCACCUACGUGUAGGUGGCUGACGGUACCGUAAGAAUAAGGACCGGCUAACUCCGUGCCAGCAGCCGCGGUAAUAAGGGCG
RNAcentral lists this ribosomal RNA (534 nucleotides) under uncultured bacterium. RNAcentral's name for it is "bacterial SSU rRNA". It matches the Rfam family "Bacterial small subunit ribosomal RNA", at positions 1 to 531 of the family's 1533-position model. The record is from RNAcentral.